This 371-nucleotide ribosomal RNA is filed under the name uncultured bacterium. Its description in RNAcentral is "bacterial SSU rRNA". It matches the Rfam family "Bacterial small subunit ribosomal RNA", at positions 28 to 419 of the family's 1533-position model. The record is from RNAcentral.
GAUGAACGCUGGCGGCGUGCCUAAUACAUGCAAGUCGAGCGAACCACUUCGGUGGUGAGCGGCGAACGGGUGAGUAACACGUAGGUGAUCUGCCCAUCAGACGGGGACAACGAUUGGAAACGAUCGCUAAUACCGGAUAGGACGAAAGUUUAAAGGUGCUUCUGGCACCGCUGAUGGAUGAGCCUGCGGCGCAUUAGCUAGUUGGUAGGGUAAAGCCUACCAAGGCGACGAUGCGUAGCCGACCUGAGAGGGUGAACGGCCACACUGGGACUGAGACACGGCCCAGACUCCUACGGGAGGCAGCAGUAGGGAAUCUUCGGCAAUGGGCGAAAGCCUGACCGAGCAACGCCGCGUGAAUGAUGAAGGCCUUC